Molecule: ribosomal RNA, 301 nt
Filed under: uncultured bacterium
Lineage: Bacteria
Description: partial 16S ribosomal RNA
Rfam family: Bacterial small subunit ribosomal RNA
Source: RNAcentral
CAGUAGCCGCGGUAAUACGUAGGGUGCAAGCGUUAAUCGGAAUUACUGGGCGUAAAGCGUGCGCAGGCGGUUUGUUAAGACAGAUGUGAAAUCCCCGGGCUCAACCUGGGAACUGCAUUUGUGACUGGCAAGCUAGAGUGUGGCAGAGGGGGGUGGAAUUCCGCGUGUAGCAGUGAGAUGCGUAGAUAUGCGGAGGAACACCGAUGGCGAAGGCAGCCCCCUGGGCCAACACUGACGCUCACGCACGAAAGCGUGGGGAGCAAACAGGAUAAGAGACCCGCGUAGUCCCUGUCUCUUAUAA